Felis catus (domestic cat) is the source of this 790-nucleotide long non-coding RNA. RefSeq lists it as uncharacterized. Lineage: Eukaryota; Metazoa; Chordata; Mammalia; Carnivora; Felidae. The transcript has 3 exons. The record is from RefSeq and is a predicted model, not a curated record.
ACGACCUGAUUGGUGAACUACAUUGGACUAAAAGGACUUUGAGUGGGCUCAUAGAUCCCAAGAGCCUACAUGACCAGGACUGAGCAGACAUCUGGCUUCUCUGUGGGGUUUUUCUUAUCACUGAGUGGGGGGGUUUAGACUUAGGCUUUGUCUUCAUGAGCUGUUACAGAGAUGACUCCUCUUGGGUGUGAUGCCUCCCUCUGCCAAGGUGGGCAUCACCCACCCGCUUGCGUGGGAUCACCCAGCUGGAGGUGCUGAGAAGCAGCCCCUGGAUGCUCAAGGAAGAUGUGUUUGAUGCCGUCGUGAGAAGAUGCAGGUGUUUCCUGUUCCCUAUCCUCCUGCGAGACUGCUUCCGGUGAUCAUGCCGAGUGGGUGUGACCCUGAAACCCAGGGCGUGUGAACUGCCUCAGGAGUGAUGGUCAUAGAAACCUGGAAGAACCCUGCCCUAGAAAAGUCACGCUGUGUCCCAGGUCAAGGUCUUGGGGCAGGUGGGAUUAGAGACCCAGGUCGACACGGCUGGGUUACCAACGUCCCCUUUCUGCAGAUGCAAAAACUAGGGCCCAGAGAGGUCGAAGAGCUGCCCGUGGUCACACAGCUCUGACACGGCAGGGCCAGGACUCUACUGCAGGUUUUGCUGACGUCAGGAGACCAGGAAGCCAAGGCUCAGAGCAGUUCCGAUCCACAGACGCUGGUGUCCGAACCCACCUGCUUGUCCAGGGCUCUGGUCUGCUCCUGUAGCUCCUUGACCUCGGCCUGCACCCGGACCCGACACUUCAGCAGGUGACCAGUG